RNAcentral lists this long non-coding RNA (7797 nucleotides) under Podarcis lilfordi (Lilford's wall lizard). Lineage: Eukaryota; Metazoa; Chordata; Lepidosauria; Squamata; Lacertidae. The record is from RNAcentral.
UACAACUGAGCCCUGAAAGGGGUUUUCUCAAGGGAAUGGGACCCUCAGGCUGAAAAGAGGCUUCGACUCUUGCCCUAGAGCUUCUGUGGAAAUUAAGCAGGUAUGGACCUGGUCAGAGAAAUGUAGAAUGGAGAAUGGUUCACUAGAAGGUGAGUGCUGUUACUUAUGGAGCCAAAGUAAAGCCCCCCACAUACAAGACAAAGGUAUCACUAAGUUUAAAGGAGCCCCAAAAUCUGCAGAAAUACUACAACUACGGGGGAAACUCCCCCCACAAAAAUAGGACUGAGCAUGCACAGUGGUCAUGUAAUGCUUACUUUUUUGACAGGCAACUGUGUGAGAUUGAAUGGAUUGGUUGGAAUCCAGAAAGUAGUAUUCCAUUCUGCUAACUUUUGUUCUAGUUCUGGCUUGCAUUAUUGAUCUUAUACCAGCACCUGAUCAUUUCAAAAAGGCAGGUGUGUGUAUCUUUAUAGCUAUGCUGUAGCUAUUUAGCUAUGUAGAGAAAUUGUACGCCACUCCAUGAUUCUAGGAUGAAGGGCAGUAUAGAAAUUUAACAAACAAAAAUGUAACCUCAGAAGCAGCCUCCAUUGAACUUCAUCAGUUAAGUCUCUUUGAAGCAAAUAUGUAUAGACCAUCGUGGCUGUCUUUGUUUGCAAAGCCACAGCCCAACAGAAAUCAAGAAGCAACUGAUAAAACUAUAAAUGCACCACAGCAUAUUUGCCAAAAACAAAUUGAAUUUGAGCGGGCACACUCUGAGGUCACAGACACAUACUGUUCAGGGUGCAUUUGUGUGAAAAAGAAUCCAAUCAACCUCAGGCCUACUCCUGAUGUGGGGCCAUCCAUCAAAGGAGCUGAGCUUGCUUCACAUAACAAUAAUAGCCACCUCACCCACGUAACAAAUGGGCACACAAAGAAAGUGAUGGGCCUUGAGUUAUGCGGUCUUUAGAACAAAACCAGAAGCUUGGGUUCCAAACAUUGCAGUUUGCUCACAAGAAGAGUUGCCUCCGGCUUGUGGGGCAAAAGGCCAGAACACUAAGAAAUUUACAGUGCAACAAGUGUAAUGUUGCACUGCGUGGUAUUCCUGCUCAGGGUUCCAGACAGGUAGCAAAGCCCUCUUCCAUUGCACUCCAUUUGAUUCCACUUGGGACAGUUUUCCAUCAUCAUGUGUACAGUCAACAUUCCACAGCCACUAAGCAAGCUGUCUUCAUCGGGCUUUUUAAGAGAGCUCCCUCCUUACUUUUUUCUCUCAAUGUUUUCUAACACCUACAUCUUCUGCAUAGGUGGGGCAGUUGUGGAUACAUAAGGAUCCAAACGUCAGUGUCAGAUCUACAUAUUUUGCCAUAGCGUGAGGAAGUCUGCACUCCCACCGUCCACCCCUCCUGCAGGUUUGUGUCUAACCAUCCUUGCUGCCACCACUGCUACCAAGAGAAAGAUGACUACAGUUUCAUGUCCCAUCCUGCCAAUGUGGCAGCUUCUUGCCUUCCUCUUCCUGGGGUGAGCAAGAAGGUAGGGCCAUUCUUAAAAAACAGUCCCUUGGAAGUUGGCACCUCUGCACAUUCACCAAGUCACCAAGUUUAUUCUGCCUUCCAGCAUAAGUUAAGUCAAGACUCAGACUAGUUUUGCUUUACAGACUCCCUCUUUUACACAAAUUAAUUGGUUUGAAUAUGGGUGAAGCAUGCAUGCAAACCUGUUGCCCAUUAGCAAAAAUAAAAAUAGUGUACAAUUUCAGGAGGUGGGAGGAGGCAAAUUUCCAGGAAAAGUAUGACAAUUAUUUCCAGGACAACAGUAAAAAAAAAAAAAAGGAGAAGGUAAAGAAGAACUGCUACAGACACAGCUUCCAGAACAGAUUGGAGGAGGUGCUAUUCCUAUUUUAACAGUGCCCAAAUCUGCUUGAGGCAGGCUGCUUUAUUCUGCCUAGUGGUAGGGUAGAGCUCAGCCACUUGGCUACAUUUGGGCAGCCUGCCUGAGGCAGCAUACUUUGGACAUAAUUAAGAAGCAACACGCUAUCAGUUAUUUCAUUUAAAUAACAACAACAAUCAUAAUAUUUUACUGUGGUAGGGUGUCAUUUCAAUGGUCUUAGCCAAGGCACCAAAAUGUCAGGCCAGUGAGAUCAGAUGCCUGCUCAUUGCUUACAUUUUUUUAGUUAUGUGAAGAAUUGAUUCUAGGAUAGUAUAUCUGAAAUGACUGUCCAGCUACAUUUGAGCGAGUUCUGCGCACUGUCUCACUAGAGUGGUACAUGCCCUGCUUAUCCCCCACUUGGAUUACUGCCAUUCUCGGUAGUAGAACUCAUCCUGUGGAACACCCUCCCAUCGGAUGUCAAGGAGAUGAGUAACUAUAUAAACUUUAGAAGACAUCUGAAGGCAGCCCUAUAUAGGGAAGCUUUUUAAUGUAUAAUGUUUUUAUACAUGUUGGAAGCCACCCAGAGUGGCUGGAGCUACCCAGUCAGAUGGGCAGGGUACAAGUAAUAAUGACAACAUUAUUAUUAUUAUUACUAUUUAAUUUAUUAUAAAUAUUUACAUUUUGCUAGUUAUAGCUGAAAGUGCCUGGUGUUGCUGACAAAUUCUAAGAAACAAAAACAUACUGAGAUUUUAAAAUGGAAAUGUAAUUUGCUAGUUUCAGGGCUGUGUACAGCACCACACAUCUACAUUCCAGGAUCUUGACCUGGGGAAAACCUGACCUGCAUCCAGCCUUGAAUCAAUGUUUAAUUAAGGUUUUUAAAGCCCUAUAAGCUCAGGAGAGGGGAAGCAGGGGAAAGACACUGAUUCUCCUUUUCCUCUCUUCCCAACUGAAUCGCAGGGAGCAGAAGGGUUGGAUCCUACUGGGUGCUGUUUCACCCAUGCAUUCCCUGUAGGAAACAUGCUGGCAAACCAGCAGACCCCUUCAGCCAGUAGGGCUGCACCCGUGGCACACAGUUCCUGCAGUGCUGCUGCAUGGGCUCGACAGGCUUCCUUGGCCUCCACAAUCUGCUGCCCUGCUCCUGCAUAGUUUCCUCCAGUGUGUCCCAUCAUGGUGUGGUUCAGCCCUAGCUGUCCCUGCCACCAACACCUGCAACUCUGUGGCUGCCAUUUAGCAGACUCACCUUUCUGACCAUCCCUCAACUUGCUCCUUCAUCAGCAGUCAUCAUCAAUGGUGGGGUGGGAUGGGGGAAGCACAUAACUGACAGUGAGAGACCAACUGUCUUCUGGCACUGGCUCAGCACAGGAACAGGAGACAGGUCUUCUCUAUUCCUCUCCCCCACCCCAAUCUCCUCUUCCCACCUUGGGACCUCUGCAGCUUCAGCCAUUUCCUUUGGAAUCCUGCUAUGGUCUACUUUCCAAGCACAUUACCUGUGGGUAACAUGCUGGUAAAGCAAACCCCUGCAGCUAGCAGGUGAAGGGUUCAGUUGCACUUAUGGACUGCAUACAUGUGUUCCCCUGCUGGGAACAUGCAUACAAAGUCAAAAUGCAGCACAGGGCUGUUUGAAAGCCCUCUUACAACAGCCAUGGGUUGCCCUUGGUAGAGGCUGCCUGACUCGCCUCCCAGCAACCCACACAUUAACAAACCCAGAUUCCUCCAGGCAGCCCAACCCAAGGUGAUCAGGGGUUGUCUUGAUGUGAUUCAGUCAAAGUCCAGAUCAGAGCAAAUUGGCCUGGCUUUGUUUGGGCUUUGGCAGAAACUGGUGUGCAGCCCUUUUCAUUUCUUGCCAAAUUUGGUUAACAUCAUUUCAGUUUUGACAGGUUCAGCCCACCAUUUUGAUUCAAACUGGAGUCCAAUGGUAUCCAAAUAUAGACCAAAGCCCACUCCUCCAUUUCAGGAACCACUGUCAAAUUGGGCGACAUUAUUUGCAGUGCGGUCCAAAUCAGUGCAGUUUUGAAUAGUUCGGUCUGCUUCAAAAUGACAGCCAACAGUAUCCAAAUAUAAACCAAAAGUCCAUUGCUCCAUCUCAGGAACUGUCAUGCAAACUGAUUUCAUGUCAAAUUUGGUUUAAAAUCUUUUCACUUAGGAAUGGCUUUGCUCACCAUCUUGCUUCAAAAUGGCCUCCAACCAUUUAUAAACAUAGACAAAAACCUGUUCCUCACACUUGGGAACAGUCAUGCCAGGUUGGAAUGAUAAUAUCUCCAGACACAUCCAAAUUGGUGCAGCUAGUGUUAGGCCCACAGAAGAAGGUUUUAAGCUGCUGCUUCACAAUGAGGUAAAACCUCCCAACAUGCUGAAAAUUGGGGUAUAAGUUUAAAUAAAAUAAAAUCAUGAUGUGUAACCAUUGAUUGCUUUAUCCAGCAUGAGUUUAUCUAAACCCCCUUUAAGGUCAUCUAAAUUGGCAGCUGUCAUUGCAUGUUGUGGCAGCAAAUUCCAUGAGAUGACUAUGUGCUGUGUGAAGAAUGCUUCCUUUCGACUGUCUUGAAUUGAGAUAUUUGCUCAUCCUAGUCCCACAACAGAUGAAUGGCAAUACCACCACUUCUUGUGUUCCUCAACAAGUUCUUGUUGAGAACUAUCCAUUUAGUCCUACUCUCUUUUCCCAGUUCCCAGGUUCCAGUAUAUAAGAGGAUCCAUAACUGCUAAGUUUUACUCAAGGGCCUUUGGCAAAGGAUUUUAUCAGAAACAUAUUGGAAGUCCAAAUAUACAGCAUCUACCACAUCACCCCCAGUCACCUGGAAUAUGCUUUUCAAACUGUUGAGUUCCAUACAAUGAGUAGCAUACUAUUGCUCUUACCUGUGAUCAUGUCCAAAGUACUUGCAACUCCAUUGCCUCCUUCUCUCUAAAAAGAAGAGCCUGAAACUUGGACUUUUAUCAGCAACGUCCACCAGUCCAGGAGUCUCUGCAGAUUUAUUAUCUGUUCUAUUUAUUACAUUUAUAUAGCACCUCUAUAUUCCAAGGAGCUCAAGGUGGUGUACAUGGUCAAAAUAAUGACUGCUUGUGUUAGCUGGCAACUUUGCUACAAAUGCCUAUCUAUAGUUCCUGGAGGGCCUCACCAGCGGUCUGGGGCCAGAAGAGACUGCCAGACACCAACAAAGGGACUUACACAGAGCCGAACAACUUGCAUCUCACCAAGAUGAACUUGCAUCUCACCACCAGAUAUGAAUGGUGGCCCAUGAAGGGCUUGAGGAACAAUGCUUUUUUUCCCAGGCCAACGCAUGCAUCAGAAACAGAAGAUUAGAUCAGGACUCUGGUAGGCUGCCACACAUGGCUAUCAGAUUGAGUUUGGCUUGGUGGAGCAGAAAGUGUGCAGGCCCGGGUUAUGGCAGGCUCCCAAAUUACACUUAUCGCUCCUCGCCAAUUGUUAUUCUUGCCCACCCCUAAAGCUCGCAUCCUGCUGCUGGAAAUUUGUUUGGAUGCAGGAGAUGCUGCGGCAGCAUCAAGGGCAUUGCAAGGAACAAUUCUGGGAGUCGAAUGCCCCUCCCUGCCAAACCGAAAAAUGCACCCACAUCCCGGUGCAGCUGGAAAAAUGGAGGGGGCCUGUCUUCCAUCCUCUCAUGGUAUCAGACUGUGCUAGUUACCAGAUGAGAAACUGGCAUCUUCCAUGAGAUUCAGAUAGCCCACCACUUUGUUCCUGGGGAUUGAAGGCUCCUGGUGUUAAUUAGCUCCUGUAAUAUGAUGGAUGACAGCAGGAAAGCCAGAAGUGACACAGGCAAAUUGCAUUCCAGAAUGAGCCUUCCCUCCUCAUCAAGGGCACUGGAAAGGGAUCUGGAGAAAGACAGGAGCUGAGCUGCAACACCACCACCUGGACACAGUGUAUAUAAAUACAAUGAGGCUGUGGGAAUCGGGAACAAGGAAGUCCACCCUCAAUGCUAACAAGAGAAAACAAAGAACAUUUGACCUGCCACAGGGGAGCAACACACACAGGUUUCUUGGGCUGAUCCCUGUUGCCAUGAAUAAAUUGAAUCCUUGAGAAAAGGAUAAGAUUGCCCUGCCCUGAUUUGGUGGUCGAGCCCCUGCUGCCCAUGGGAAGCAAAGGAAGACACAACUAGACACAACAACAUACUAAGGAGGAGAAGGCGGCAGCUCAAAUCAAGGUCAUAAGGGGAUGCAGCCCUAUCUCCUGGGUGAGAAGCAUCCUUUUCUCUCCAAGACGGAGGCCAAAGGAGAAGAGAUGAAAACUGGGGCAAGGAGGCAGUUGGGUGGGAAAGAGGAAACCAGCCAUGUAUCUCCCAUGAUGAAGUUAGGGAUGGGAGAUGAGACAGGCGAGGGAAACUGGAAGGGAUGGCCUGGGUACUGCAGCACCAGACCACAGAGGUAUAAAAUAUUAAUAUAAAGUUAAAAUUUGGGGGGUAUAUCCCUAGUGUAUGAACAUCCAUGCAUCACCUUAGUUCAUUGUACCAACUGCCAGUGCAUAGUCAUCCCAUUCUCCUGCAGUCUUCUCUCUCUCCAAGCACACAUUGUCCUAGGACCAGCUCAUCCACUAGACAAACACAGUAUUGGCACUGCAUGCAAGCCCUGCAAGGGGAACUGUAGACACCGACUAUGUUCUGCAAUUAACUGUCCCAGAAAAAGGAUGCUUCCAGAAGACCUAUUUAUUGAGUAUUCAUCCAGAUUUGCUUGAGGGGAGACUAGAUGAUGUUGCAUCAAAGAAGGUGUUCUCUCGCACUUCCCUGUGCAUUUCCUGUCACUUUCCUUAUUGCAAAAACACUGAUCUUGGAGAAGCAGGUCUGUUGCACAAGACCUCCCAAAACACAAUAAUGGUGAGACCUGAAUUUUCUGGUAUGUGACUGAAUCCCACCUGAAAGCAGUGUAGUUUGGAAACACCCAAAGGUAGAGCAGCAAGAUGAAGAGAUUAGGGCAGAGGGGACAGAAAUCUACAGUGGGGAUUGCAAAGAGACAGGAAUCAAGACCAAGAGAAGAAGAUGCAUCUAACCUGAUUUAUGGAUCCUAAUAAUGUCUAAGACCAACUCCAUUCUCCACUUACAAAAUAACAAUUACAGAGUUCUGUUUAUCCACCCUAAACUCGCUGUAUUAAAAUGCAAUCUUCACAAAUUCAGAGUAAUCACCUGGUACAGCUCUGUUGGAACUAUUACUUUAAACAGGGAGUUGCACAUCUGAAUAUUCCCCCAUUUAAACAACAACCCUGCAUAUAGAAAAUCAGCUCAGUGGCAGAUGACAGGCCAGGAUGGUUCUCUCCAAUAUGCUUGUUUUCUUUAAAUGGCAACAUUUAACUAUGCAAUCCCCUGUUCACAGUCUAAAGUGGAGAGUCCCAGCAAGACUGUAUUAUGUGAUUACUCUGAACACGGAAAUCAGCUCUCAGGACUCAGCCAGUCCACAGAAAUUGUGUUGUGGUUGAUUUUCAAAAUGCAAGUGAUUUUUAAAAUGGAAAGUGGAAUAAGGGGCACUUUGAACUUGGAACCAGGGGGAGGAAAAAGGAGCCACUGAAAAGGAGUGCUCACUUGUCUCCCAAACACAUUCAGUACACUGACAACACUCCUUCCAGAUCAAGGCUUAGUUGCAAAAGCCUUUUGCACGUCAAACUUAUUGCAUGUCAAUAACUAUAUUGUUAUUGCCGAGACCUUAGCAUGAACAAUCUUUGAGUUACUUUUUAUAAGUCCCUCAACCUUCUGAAUCAGGGAUGAUCAGAGAGGUAAUUCCAGUAACUUCUUUUUGCUGGUUAAAAAUGACUAAGCACAUAAAGGUGCCUUGAGUAAGCAUAUGGGUUUGAAUUGUUCUUUUUAAUGGAAAAAGAGCUAACUCACCCUAAGACAGUUUUUGACCUUGGCUGUUUGGGGUUGUUGCUUUCUACGCCCUAAUACAGCAUCUCCUGCAUCUGCCAACUUCCAAACUUCCACCUAAAGUGCAGUAGACUAUGCAAAGCUGCUUGCCAGGAGGACAGGGAUG